Molecule: non-coding RNA, 72 nt
Organism: Chelonia mydas (Green sea turtle)
Lineage: Eukaryota; Metazoa; Chordata; Testudines; Cheloniidae
Source: Rfam
GACAGUGUGACCUAGUAGAUAGAGCACUAGACUGGGACUCAGGAGACCUGGGUUCUAUUCCUAGCUCUGCCA